AGAUCAUGAAAGGUGAGCCCAUGAAAUUAAACUUUUGUUAAAAAGUGGAAGAACUUCAGAAUUGGAAGACCCCCGUCCAUGCAGUAAUCUCUUCAACAGCAUAUUUGGCAGAUGAUCAUCCAGGUCCAGUAUGGAUAUCACUACUGGCAGAGUUCACAAAAAUCAGACCAUCCUUUAUUGGCAACUGGGAUCUGGAUAACUUCUUUCCCAGUUUCAACCUCCG
This 223-nucleotide long non-coding RNA is filed under the name Pan troglodytes (chimpanzee). Its description in RNAcentral is "long non-coding RNA NONPTRT000507". The record is from RNAcentral. Lineage: Eukaryota; Metazoa; Chordata; Mammalia; Primates; Hominidae.